RNAcentral lists this ribosomal RNA (2925 nucleotides) under Escherichia coli. RNAcentral describes it as "23S ribosomal RNA". It matches the Rfam family "Bacterial large subunit ribosomal RNA". Lineage: Bacteria; Pseudomonadati; Pseudomonadota; Gammaproteobacteria; Enterobacterales; Enterobacteriaceae. The record is from RNAcentral.
GGGUUGUGAGGUUAAGCGACUAAGCGUACACGGUGGAUGCCCUGGCAGUCAGAGGCGAUGAAGGACGUGCUAAUCUGCGAUAAGCGUCGGUAAGGUGAUAUGAACCGUUAUAACCGGCGAUUUCCGAAUGGGGAAACCCAGUGUGUUUCGACACACUAUCAUUAACUGAAUCCAUAGGUUAAUGAGGCGAACCGGGGGAACUGAAACAUCUAAGUACCCCGAGGAAAAGAAAUCAACCGAGAUUCCCCCAGUAGCGGCGAGCGAACGGGGAGGAGCCCAGAGCCUGAAUCAGUGUGUGUGUUAGUGGAAGCGUCUGGAAAGGCGCGCGAUACAGGGUGACAGCCCCGUACACAAAAAUGCACAUGCUGUGAGCUCGAUGAGUAGGGCGGGACACGUGGUAUCCUGUCUGAAUAUGGGGGGACCAUCCUCCAAGGCUAAAUACUCCUGACUGACCGAUAGUGAACCAGUACCGUGAGGGAAAGGCGAAAAGAACCCCGGCGAGGGGAGUGAAAAAGAACCUGAAACCGUGUACGUACAAGCAGUGGGAGCCUCUUAAUGGGGUGACUGCGUACCUUUUGUAUAAUGGGUCAGCGACUUAUAUUCUGUAGCAAGGUUAACCGAAUAGGGGAGCCGAAGGGAAACCGAGUCUUAACUGGGCGUUAAGUUGCAGGGUAUAGACCCGAAACCCGGUGAUCUAGCCAUGGGCAGGUUGAAGGUUGGGUAACACUAACUGGAGGACCGAACCGACUAAUGUUGAAAAAUUAGCGGAUGACUUGUGGCUGGGGGUGAAAGGCCAAUCAAACCGGGAGAUAGCUGGUUCUCCCCGAAAGCUAUUUAGGUAGCGCCUCGUGAAUUCAUCUCCGGGGGUAGAGCACUGUUUCGGCAAGGGGGUCAUCCCGACUUACCAACCCGAUGCAAACUGCGAAUACCGGAGAAUGUUAUCACGGGAGACACACGGCGGGUGCUAACGUCCGUCGUGAAGAGGGAAACAACCCAGACCGCCAGCUAAGGUCCCAAAGUCAUGGUUAAGUGGGAAACGAUGUGGGAAGGCCCAGACAGCCAGGAUGUUGGCUUAGAAGCAGCCAUCAUUUAAAGAAAGCGUAAUAGCUCACUGGUCGAGUCGGCCUGCGCGGAAGAUGUAACGGGGCUAAACCAUGCACCGAAGCUGCGGCAGCGACACUAUGUGUUGUUGGGUAGGGGAGCGUUCUGUAAGCCUGUGAAGGUGUACUGUGAGGUAUGCUGGAGGUAUCAGAAGUGCGAAUGCUGACAUAAGUAACGAUAAAGCGGGUGAAAAGCCCGCUCGCCGGAAGACCAAGGGUUCCUGUCCAACGUUAAUCGGGGCAGGGUGAGUCGACCCCUAAGGCGAGGCCGAAAGGCGUAGUCGAUGGGAAACAGGUUAAUAUUCCUGUACUUGGUGUUACUGCGAAGGGGGGACGGAGAAGGCUAUGUUGGCCGGGCGACGGUUGUCCCGGUUUAAGCGUGUAGGCUGAUUUUCCAGGCAAAUCCGGAAAAUCAAGGCUGAGGCGUGAUGACGAGGCACUACGGUGCUGAAGCAACAAAUGCCCUGCUUCCAGGAAAAGCCUCUAAGCAUCAGGUAACAUCAAAUCGUACCCCAAACCGACACAGGUGGUCAGGUAGAGAAUACCAAGGCGCUUGAGAGAACUCGGGUGAAGGAACUAGGCAAAAUGGUGCCGUAACUUCGGGAGAAGGCACGCUGAUAUGUAGGUGAAGUCCCUCGCGGAUGGAGCUGAAAUCAGUCGAAGAUACCAGCUGGCUGCAACUGUUUAUUAAAAACACAGCACUGUGCAAACACGAAAGUGGACGUAUACGGUGUGACGCCUGCCCGGUGCCGGAAGGUUAAUUGAUGGGGUUAGCGGUAACGCGAAGCUCUUGAUCGAAGCCCCGGUAAACGGCGGCCGUAACUAUAACGGUCCUAAGGUAGCGAAAUUCCUUGUCGGGUAAGUUCCGACCUGCACGAAUGGCGUAAUGAUGGCCAGGCUGUCUCCACCCGAGACUCAGUGAAAUUGAACUCGCUGUGAAGAUGCAGUGUACCCGCGGCAAGACGGAAAGACCCCGUGAACCUUUACUAUAGCUUGACACUGAACAUUGAGCCUUGAUGUGUAGGAUAGGUGGGAGGCUUUGAAGUGUGGACGCCAGUCUGCAUGGAGCCGGCCUUGAAAUACCACCCUUUAAUGUUUGAUGUUCUAACGUUGGCCCCUGAUCGGGGUUGCGGACAGUGUCUGGUGGGUAGUUUGACUGGGGCGGUCUCCUCCUAAAGAGUAACGGAGGAGCACGAAGGUUGGCUAAUCCUGGUCGGACAUCAGGAGGUUAGUGCAAUGGCAUAAGCCAGCUUGACUGCGAGCGUGACGGCGCGAGCAGGUGCGAAAGCAGGUCAUAGUGAUCCGGUGGUUCUGAAUGGAAGGGCCAUCGCUCAACGGAUAAAAGGUACUCCGGGGAUAACAGGCUGAUACCGCCCAAGAGUUCAUAUCGACGGCGGUGUUUGGCACCUCGAUGUCGGCUCAUCACAUCCUGGGGCUGAAGUAGGUCCCAAGGGUAUGGCUGUUCGCCAUUUAAAGUGGUACGCGAGCUGGGUUUAGAACGUCGUGAGACAGUUCGGUCCCUAUCUGCCGUGGGCGCUGGAGAACUGAGGGGGGCUGCUCCUAGUACGAGAGGACCGGAGUGGACGCAUCACUGGUGUUCGGGUUGUCAUGCCAAUGGCACUGCCCGGUAGCUAAAUGCGGAAGAGAUAAGUGCUGAAAGCAUCUAAGCACGAAACUUGCCCCGAGAUGAGUUCUCCCUGACUCCUUGAGAGUCCUGAAGGAACGUUGAAGACGACGACGUUGAUAGGCCGGGUGUGUAAGCGCAGCGAUGCGUUGAGCUAACCGGUACUAAUGAACCGUGAGGCUUAACCUUACAACGCCGAAG